This 203-nucleotide long non-coding RNA is filed under the name Homo sapiens (human). RNAcentral's name for it is "non-protein coding lnc-ARID1B-6:1". The record is from RNAcentral. Lineage: Eukaryota; Metazoa; Chordata; Mammalia; Primates; Hominidae.
UUUAAGAAAAAGAGAGAGAGGCAGAGAGAAAGCCUGCUUCCCUUUCUAAUUACAGUCCCAUUUCCUUAGCAAGUCCUUGAAAAAAGAAUUCCCCAAGUCUCUAAUCAUCUCUCUAGUCGUAAUCUCCAUAAUUGUGUCCCUUCCAGAUUCCUUCUUGGCACAGCCCAGAGACUGAUUUGCUCCAUGUGGUUAAAAACCUUUUA